This 2137-nucleotide long non-coding RNA is filed under the name Mytilus galloprovincialis (Mediterranean mussel). The record is from RNAcentral. Lineage: Eukaryota; Metazoa; Mollusca; Bivalvia; Mytilida; Mytilidae.
UUUGAAGAAAAAUAAAACUUGUGAUAUUUUAUUCACAUAUUAAUACAUUACAAUGCUAUUUACACAAACUUUAUAAUGACUUCAUUCUCUUUCAUACAAUUGCACUUGAAACACGAUAAAAAGUUGUCAUUCUCUCCACUUCAUUGUAGUUAAUAGCACUUUUUGUAUAGACACAUGGCAAUAUAAUACAAAUUUUCAACUUUUAAUGCCAAUUUUUCAAAAUUUAAGAUUGUUUCUGAGAGGACAGAAGAAAUAAUCAGUCCAUAUAUGAUGAAAAUAGACUCAGGCAAUAAGGAAAAAGUGUUAACCAAUGAAAAGCUUUUUUUUUUUAAAGUACCUUCUUUCAAAAGUUUUAAUGUGAAUUCUAUUCAUUUUCUCAAAAAAAGUGUUUAUUAAACUAUUUACAUAUAUUAAAACAUGUUCAAUAUGAAUCAAUAGCAAGAUGUCACUACUUUCUGAUAGUUUAAGAUAGGCAAUUACACACUAUUCUAAGCAUUGGGAAUACAAUUGAUCUGUACAGUCUACAGAGGAAAUUGGUUGGACAGGUUUCAUGGUGUAUAAAAGAAAACAGGAAAGACAAGAUUGGAAGAAAUUAAAGAUGUGUUUAAUUAACAAACAAACAAAAAAACGCAUAUAAAUGAGCCAUUAGAAUAAGACAAGACAAUAUUUUAAAAUCUAACAUCUGUUGGAAGAUUAUAACAGACACUCAUUUACUCUGUCAAAGCAACCAAUAAAAUUGAAAGAUGAGAUGGUUAUUCUAUACAACAUAUCAGAUUCUAAUGCAAUCUCUUUCAUUGGAUUUAGCUAAAUAACAUUUUGUGUAAAAAAAAAUUGCAACUGAGGACCUACAUGGGAAGAGUUGACAUAUUGAAUCAUUAAAUCCAACACAAAUAGCUAGGUUACCAAAUUUGCAACAAUAAAAUCUGUGAUAUACAUCUUUAGGGCUUUGCAUACAAUUCAAUUAUUCCCUAAAUCCAUAGGUUUUGAUCCAUGUUAAUGAAAUACUGAUAUGUGUGUCAAUGAAGUUAUAAGGUCUAUACAAACAAGACAUUUUUUCAUUGCAUCUAUCUACCUUUCCAAUCCAUUCCCCUAGAAAAUCACAUUACACCAUUGACAUGGACGCAUCAACAUGGUAAAUUCAGAAAAAAGGAAAUAUAGAGACCCAACUAUUCAUUAAAACAAAAUCUUCCUAUUAAUUUUAAAAAUUAAAAAAAAAAUCUUUCAGCAGGUAAAAAGUUUGUCCAUUUGGCAUUUAACCAAACUGAAAUGUCAAUAAACACAUAAAUGUAACAGACAUGGAUUACAAUUCGGAUUUUUCUAAUGUUAAUUCUAGAAUUAAUAUAUAUUCUUUAAUAAUAUCUUUAUAUAGUUUUUUUAGAAAGAAACUUUACAUGUUAUUAAAUAGGUGUAUUAAAAUGGAUUUCAUACAAAUUAUGGUACACCAUGUUUAAAUAUACAAUUGAACUUUAAUAUUUUAAUGCACUUGCAAUUGGUUUUUACAGUAAAUCAAGUUGCUCAGUAAAAUAUUUAAAAAUAAUUUCUGUUCUGAUAAUAUACUUGUUACAUCUUACUGUGAGCAUAAGUCACCCUGCUACUUUGUUCAAUAAAAAAAAUUUUCAAUGGUAUUUUUAAACUGUGCACAUAUCAAAAUCAGAAAAGUAGAAAAGAUAAAAGUAUAUAGCUUUAACACUUGAUACCAACAAUGCAUUAACAAAACUUAUAUUCUUUAACAUUCUAUAUCAAAACAUACAUUUAAAACAAUCGUUCAUAAUGAAUAACUCUAAUGUAUAUUUCAAAUUACAAUUCAAAAUGUACUAUCAUAUAUUUGUAUAUUGUGUUACCAAGUUUUUUUUUAGUUCUACUCAAUAUAUUCAAAGCAAUAAAAAAUUCCACAUACCAAUACAUGUACAUGUGAUAAUUCAUAGAAUACAUGUAUACAAGAUGUACAUAAAAAAAUAAAUAAAACUUUUUUGCCAUCAUAAACUUUUUCCCUAUUUCAAAACCAGUUGUACAAUAGUUCUUGUUAUUCUAAAUUUUACAAGUAGUCUAAAUAUAUCUUUCAAUGUUUGUCAUCAGAUCAAAUCACCUUAUAUAAGGGGUUUCAUUAUUUUUCAUGUCUACUGGUACUUUCCACGUU